RNAcentral lists this transfer RNA (61 nucleotides) under Dolichoris vasculosae. Its description in RNAcentral is "tRNA-Ser". The record is from RNAcentral. Lineage: Eukaryota; Metazoa; Arthropoda; Insecta; Hymenoptera; Agaonidae.
GAAAUAUUAUUCAUUGUGAGCUUCUAAUUCAUUAAUGAAAUAAUAAAAUUAUUAUAUUUCU